Molecule: ribosomal RNA, 497 nt
Filed under: uncultured bacterium
Lineage: Bacteria
Description: partial 16S ribosomal RNA
Rfam family: Bacterial small subunit ribosomal RNA
Source: RNAcentral
GAUGAACGCUGGCGGCGUGCCUAAUACAUGCAAGUCGAGCGAACAGAUGAGGAGCUUGCUCCUCUGACGUUAGCGGCGGACGGGUGAGUAACACGUGGAUAACCUACCUAUAAGACUGGGAUAACUUCGGGAAACCGGAGCUAAUACCGGAUAAUAUAUUGAACCGCAUGGUUCAAUAGUGAAAGACGGUUUUGCUGUCACUUAUAGAUGGAUCCGCGCCGCAUUAGCUAGUUGGUAAGGUAACGGCUUACCAAGGCAACGAUGCGUAGCCGACCUGAGAGGGUGAUCGGCCACACUGGAACUGAGACACGGUCCAGACUCCUACGGGAGGCAGCAGUAGGGAAUCUUCCGCAAUGGGCGAAAGCCUGACGGAGCAACGCCGCGUGAGUGAUGAAGGUCUUCGGAUCGUAAAGCUCUGUUAUUAGGGAAGAACAAAUGUGUAAGUAACUAUGCACGUCUUGACGGUACCUAAUGAGAAAGCCACGGCUAACUACGUG